GCCAGUUCUGACGCUGAUAUUUUGUUAAACGAUUAUGUUGGGAUGUUUUGCUAAACUGUGAUAUCAAAGCAGGAGUACUUAUCUUAGGCAAGGUUUGAGUGGCUUGAACUUAACAGGAGAAUGGACCGCUGGAUAAAGUAACCUGCGCUUUACAGAUAAAUAAUUUGGAAGAUCGAUCAUUCAAAAUCACUGUAGUAGGUAGGGAUGGCUGGAACUUGAAGGCCGAAGUGACUGGGUUAGAAUGACAGAUUUUCCUGGACCAGGACUUACCUUCUUGAUGGCCAUGUGGUAUAAUUACAAUGUGGUCAUUUGAUGAAAACUAAUUGGUAAAGUAUGAACUUCAGGUAUGAGGUGAAGUAUUGUUCGACCUCUGGAUUGUUCCUCAGCUCAAGCCACUCUGCUGCCGUAUGGAUUCCCGUUUGGACCAAGCCAUACAUUCAGGAAUCAAACCACUUUGUACUUCAGCAAUAGCAUCCAUUAUUUUCUAGGUUCAAGGGGAUAUUUUCUACCUAAAGCAAUACAAGUGGCGGUGAAGUUUUAAAAGUUGAUGUAUCUUGAAACAAACUACUGUCAAAACUGCUCUCACUUAAUGAAAUCAGUUUGUUAGUAUAUACAAACCUCAAUCUGACGUUUUGACAACUAUUGCAAAAACUUGAGUCUUCUAUUCUUCAGCUACAUUCAUUUGCCGUAAUAUAAGCGU
Molecule: long non-coding RNA, 700 nt
Organism: Macrobrachium nipponense
Lineage: Eukaryota; Metazoa; Arthropoda; Malacostraca; Decapoda; Palaemonidae
Exons: 4
Source: RefSeq, a predicted model, not a curated record